ACGCUAGCUACAGGCUUAACACAUGCAAGUCGAGGGGAAACGGCAUUAAGUGCUUGCACUUUUUGGACGUCGACCGGCGCACGGGUGAGUAACGCGUAUCCAACCUUCCCAUGACUAAGGGAUAACCUGCCGAAAGGCAGACUAAUACCUUAUGGUCUUCACUGACGGCAUCAGAUGUGAAGUAAAGAUUUAUCGGUUAUGGAUGGGGAUGCGUCUGAUUAGCUUGUUGGCGGGGUAACGGCCCACCAAGGCAACGAUCAGUAGGGGUUCUGAGAGGAAGGUCCCCCACAUUGGAACUGAGACACGGUCCAAACUCCUACGGGAGGCAGCAGUGAGGAAUAUUGGUCAAUGGGCGAGAGCCUGAACCAGCCAAGUAGCGUGCAGGAUGACGGCCCUAUGGGUUGUAAACUGCUUUUGUAUGGGGAUAAAGUCAGUCACGUGUGAUUGUUUGCAGGUACCAUACGAAUAAGGACCGGCUAAUUCCGUGCUAGCAGCCGCGGUAAUACGGAAGGUCCGGGCGUUAUCCGGAUUUAUUGGGUUUAAAGGGAGCGUAGGCUGGAGAUUAAGUGUGUUGUGAAAUGUAGACGCUCAACGUCUGACUUGCAGCGCAUACUGGUUUCCUUGAGUACGCACAACGUUGGCGGAAUUCGUCGUGUAGCGGUGAAAUGCUUAGAUAUGACGAAGAACUCCGAUUGCGAAGGCAGCUGACGGGAGCGCAACUGACGCUGCAGCUCGAAGGUGCGGGUAUCGAACAGGAUUAGAUACCCUGGUAGUCCGCACAGUAAACGAUGGAUGCCCGCUGUUGGUACCUGGUAUCAGCGGCUAAGCGAAAGCAUUAAGCAUCCCACCUGGGGAGUACGCCGGCAACGGUGAAACUCAAAGGAAUUGACGGGGGCCCGCACAAGCGGAGGAACAUG
This 917-nucleotide ribosomal RNA is filed under the name uncultured bacterium. RNAcentral describes it as "bacterial SSU rRNA". It matches the Rfam family "Bacterial small subunit ribosomal RNA", at positions 33 to 941 of the family's 1533-position model. The record is from RNAcentral.